UAAAAUUAUAAAAAAACACAACAAAACUCCUUUAAUAAAUAAAAUUAAAUCUUUUAAUAAUUCAAAUAAAACAUUUUUUUUAAUAACUGUAAAGGCUUUUAAAAAUUUUUAAAAAAAGACUUUUUAUACCUUUUGUAUAAGGGUUCUAUAAAAAACAAACUUAAUUUUUUUUUCCCGAAAAAAAAUGAACUAUUAUUUGUUAAAAUAUAAAUAUUAAAUAAUUUAUAUACAACACAUAAUAGAAUUUAAAUGAAAUACAUAUUUUUUAUAUCUGGUUAAAAUAAAUAUUAUUUUAGAUAAGGAUAAUUAAAUUUUUUAAAAUAAAAUAAAAAAUUAUCCUUUUUAUUAAAUAAAAGUUUAAUAAAUAGAAGAUAAAUAAACUCUUACACUUAAUAAAAAAUUUAAUAUUUAUUAAAAAUUGUUAUAAAUUAAUUACACACUAAUCAUAAUAAUAUAUUCUUUAAUAAUAAUAAUAAAAUAAAUUUUAAUUUUAUAAAAAAAUUUAGAAAUUAGUAUAAAAACAUUUUUAUUUUUUAAAAACUCGACAAAAAAAAUAUUUAACUGUUUAAUAAAAACAUUUUUUUUAGUUAUUAUUAAAAAUAAAUUCUGCUCAAUGAUAAAUUUUUAAAUUGCUAAAGUAUUUUGACUUUACAAAGGUAUUGAAAUAAGAUUUUAAUUGAAUGCUAAAAGAAUGGAUUAAUAAGUAUUAUUUAUUUUAAAAAUAAAAAUAUAAAUUCAUUUAAAAAUGAAAAAGUUUUUAUAAUCAUAUGGGACAAGAAGACCCUGUGAAUUUUUAAUUAAACAACAUCUAUUUAUUAUUUAAUUUUGAUUGGGGCGAUAAAAAAAUAUUAAAAAACUUUAUUUUUAAGAUAAAAUUUACAUUAAUGAAAAAUACUCCAGGGAUAACAGCGUAAUUAUUAUGGAAAGCUCAUAUUGAUAUAAUAGUUUACGACCUCGAUGUUGAAUUAAUAAAUCUAAAUAAAGCAGAAUUUAUUUAAGAAAGAUUGCUCAUCUUUUAAAUUAUUACAUGAUUUGAGUUUAAACCGGCGUGAGCCAGGUUAGUUUCUAUCUAUAAAUAAAAAUAUUUUAAUUUAGUACGAAAGGAUUAAUUAAAAAUAAAUUUUAUCAGUUAUUAAAAAAUAUAUAAGAAUAGCUAUAUUAAUUUAUAUUAUUAAAUAAUAACUAACUUUUU
Galendromus occidentalis (western predatory mite) is the source of this 1192-nucleotide non-coding RNA. The record is from the annotation of a RefSeq genome assembly. Lineage: Eukaryota; Metazoa; Arthropoda; Arachnida; Mesostigmata; Phytoseiidae.